RNAcentral lists this ribosomal RNA (253 nucleotides) under uncultured bacterium. Its description in RNAcentral is "partial 16S ribosomal RNA". It matches the Rfam family "Bacterial small subunit ribosomal RNA", at positions 524 to 776 of the family's 1533-position model. The record is from RNAcentral.
GACGAGCCUCACGAACGUUAUUCGGAAUUACUGGGCUUAAAGGGUGCGUAGGCGGCGCGGAAAGUAGGGUGUGAAAUCCCUCGGCUCAACCGAGGAACUGCGCUCUAAACUACCGUGCUCGAGGGAGAUAGAGGUAAGCGGAACUUAGGGUGGAGCGGUGAAAUGCGUUGAUAUCGGGAGGAACACCGGUGGCGAAGGCGGCAUCCUGGACCGGUAUUGACGCUGAGGCGCGAAAGCUAGGGGAGCAAACGGG